Caretta caretta (loggerhead turtle) is the source of this 3387-nucleotide long non-coding RNA. RefSeq lists it as uncharacterized. NCBI's taxonomy places the organism in Eukaryota, Metazoa, Chordata, Testudines, Cheloniidae. The record is from RefSeq and is a predicted model, not a curated record.
CCUGCUGCCGCGGGUGCACUUUGCAUUGAAGUCCAAGGCAGCCCCGCAACCCUUAGAAUAGCGGCGCCCAAGCAUCCCCCAGCUUCGCCUCCCGCAGGUUCUCCCCCUUUAGAGGCUGUUCAAAGAGAUCCGCCUCUGGCUUAGCCCAUGCUGCCGGGUAAAGUCGGUUGGGACGGGUGUGUGGCAAGCCGCCUGCCUGUUUCUAACUUUUGUCAUGCGGGUCUAUAGCGGGUUAGACGGUAGCAGGUGGAACGCUCAGCGGUAAAGAGGAGGGGUGAGGCGAGGGAAAGACCCAGCCACUUUCGCAGCCAUUUCCGAGCUCUGCGCGGGGCAGCGGUGCCGGCUGCAGGGCAGCUCCGGGCUCGCACCUCCCUAAGUUUAUCCUCCCCUCCCGGCCGCCACGGCGCGGGCGCUGCUGCGGGGCAGGGAAUGAUGUGCGCAAGAUAUGACGCCAGCGUCUCUUUCCAACAUCACCCAGAAAAUUUUGGGCAAAGACACGGGCAAAAGCACUCGCCAGCCACUGAUGAGUGAGUGAAUGCUGUCAGAUAUAGCCUCCAACACGCCAGGGGAAAUCUGAAACGGUCUCCGGCACAGCUCGGAAAGGAAGAAGCAAGUUUCUUUGCGGUGUCUUAAAAUCCUGCUCGUGAAGAGCUAGAGCGAAGACAUGUGGAAGUUGACUUUUUCCCAAGGUCCAGCACUGGACCCAGCUCAUUCUACCCAUCCAGGGUUCAUCUAAGUGUCCUUAACCUGACUCUGAUCAUUUUUAAACAGCCCUACCCCAUCUCAAUUUUGCAUAGGGGGAUGCUUGCUUGCAAAAAUUGUUUAAUAAUAAGUUGUUUGCAAAUCACUCCACCUAGAAAACUGUAAAUCAGAUUAUAUUUUAAGAUUUGCACUGCCGUCUACACGCAGAGGACCAUUUUGAGCCCUGGGAACGGUUACCACAUCCUUAUUCUUUGCUGUGGAGUGGACUGGGACAUCGUCCCUUAUAUCAUCCAAGAUCCAGCAGCUCCCGCUUGCCCCUGAUGCUUGUGACAAACAAAGGCACGCGCAGGGGGAUUCUUAUUUGCAAGACUGUUUAACUUCUCUUAUUUGAUUUGCACGACUAGAAUCAUGUGUUUCUGCCACUUCCUCUUGUGCAGAUUCUAGCGUCCUAACUUGCAAUAUCCAUUUACUUAAAAAUUUCUCUAUAGAGAACUAGAGCAAUGUUAUUCCUUCAUGAGGAUAACUAAGCAACUGCUGUUCUUGGACGUGAACACUUAAUUAUAUGAUGCAUGUUUAGGGCUGCGUAUCUAGCAUUUUUACAGCCAUUUUGAGGAAAGAUUCUUCAACCAUUUGUGAAAUUGACAGGUUUCCCUUUGUCACGGAGUGUGGGGGGAGGCAGGGUCCUACACACCUCUUUCUGGGAUUCACCCAGACUCUCAGCCAGCCAGUAAAAUGGAAGGUUUAUUGGACGAUAGGAACACAGUGCCAAACAGAGCGUGUAGGUACAACGGGGACCCCUCAGUCAAGUCCUUCUAGGGGGCAGAGAGCUUAGACCCCAGCCUUGGGGUUCCCUGUGUUUCACCACCCAGCUCCCAAACCGAAAACAAAAACCCCUCCUGCAGGUUCUCUCACACUCCCCCCAGCUCAUCCUCUAGCCUUUGUCCAGUUUCCAAGGCAAAGGUGUCAGCUCUCCCACCCCCUCUCCUAGCUCAUGUUACAGCCUCAAGUAUCUUCCUUCAGGGGAAGUCUUCACUCCCCAAUGCACAGUCCUAGUGAACCUCCCUGGCAACACUCCCAGGUCAAAUCUGCCCCACUCCCUGCUGAAUUACACCCUUUGAAACCACUGGAACUUUACAUGCUAAGUAAAACAAUCAGCAAAAUUGGCAAACUUGCUUUAGGAAAGAGGCAUGUUUCAGGAAUUUUCUGCUCAGUAACAGGAAGACCGAUUUACUGUACAUCCUUAAUUAUUCAACUACUGGAUAUGUUUAAAUAAAGGUUAACUGCACUCCCCUUUACUUCGGAAUUUAAAAAAAAAAAUCAGUACACCUCUUCUUCUCUCCCCCCACUUUAAAGACCAAUCACUACACCUCAUGGUCCCUUUGAUAUAGUGUUUCAUGGCUGCCUACAGCUCUGAAAGUUGGAUGAAGGGUGCAGCUGAGUCUUUCAGCUUCCAAAACACCUGUACAAUAUGCUUCUCUGAAAAGCAACACUAGGGAUUUUUUUUAAUACAUUAUAUAAAUCAGUUUAGUUAAACCAGUGAAAGCAAUGCAUGACAGUUAAGUCAGUCAGUUUACAAGGGUUUAUAUCUACUUAGCUUCAGGUGCCAGUUAUACAAGUUAAAAAGGAAGAUGUCAUGAGAAAAAUGUUUAUUCCUGUUCAGAAACCAAAUGGUUGUUUUUGGUGAAAAAAUCUACUGUACAAUUGUGAGCUAUAGUUUCCUUUGCAAGCAGAGAUAAAUAGUAGUUUUUUUCUUGUAGUGAAAAGUUUUUGCAAGGUAAGUAGUAAUUGUCAAUUAGUAAGGGCAGCUUCAGUGAGAGGAAACAUUUCCUUUCUGUUCAACAGAAGCUCUUCCUUCAGCUGCUAUAGUCAACACCACUUGUCAGUACUGUAUCUGAGGUGUCCUGUGUCUCAACCUUUGGAUGUGAGUGUAACAUACUAUAGCUUGGGGGAGUGUCUUGUAACUCCCAUAUUCCUCAUCUGUAUAGAAGUCUGAUAUUGCAUAUAAAGCAUGCCAUGUGAGGUAUCAGGGAAAAGGUUAUGUUCGGCUGAAAAAAAAAAUCACUGCUCUAUCUAAGUAUGUAUAUCUUUAAUGCGUAUGAAGUUAUGAGAUUGUGUUGUAUGGUUGUCACUAAAACAUGAUGUAAGUUAGGGAAUCAGGCAGAUUAGUUUCCCAGAAGCAACAGAAAUGAAAGUAACCAAUGCCCAGGUAGGGUGUCAAAACACCCCAUCAGUAGCCAUUGGCCAGCAAGGGAGCUACAAUUCAAUGACUCACCUGCAUAAGGCUACAUCAGGGAAAUUGCUCAACCUGGCUUGGAGACUCAGCAAUGCCCCCACAGACAUGCCUGGACUUGUGCAUUCCCCCUGCACAUGGGACUGAGGGUAUAAAACAGAGCAGGCCCAUGUUUGCCUUUCUCCUGCACCCACCUCAUGCUGCAAGCAACAAGGACACUGAGCAGACUUAAAGCAGAGGAGGCUGGCCAGAUUUCAAUGGUGAAAUCUUUGUGCUAUGAACUGCAGUAUCCAGUCAUGUGAGGAAAACUGGUUAGUCUUGUUGUUUCCCAAUCUAAUAGGGGUGAGACUUUAGAUUGCAUACUUAUAUUUUAUUUCUUUUGAUAACUGACUUCCCCCCAUCACUUAAAAACCUAUCUUUUGUAGUCAAUAAAUUUGUUUUAGUGUUUAUCUUUA